UACAGAGGGUGCGAGCGUUAAUCGGAAUUACUGGGCGUAAAGUGUGCGCAGGCGGCCGAGCAAGUCGAGUGUGAAAGCCCCGGGCUUAACUUGGGAAUUGCGCUCGAAACUACUUGGCUGGAGUGUGGCAGAGGAAGGUGGAAUUCCAGGUGUAGCGGUGAAAUGCGUAGAGAUCUGGAGGAACACCGAUGGCGAAGGCAGCCUUCUGGGCCAACACUGACGCUCAUGCACGAAAGCGUGGGGAGCAAACAGG
This 253-nucleotide ribosomal RNA is filed under the name uncultured bacterium. RNAcentral describes it as "partial 16S ribosomal RNA". It matches the Rfam family "Bacterial small subunit ribosomal RNA", at positions 524 to 776 of the family's 1533-position model. The record is from RNAcentral.